Chelonia mydas (Green sea turtle) is the source of this 6172-nucleotide long non-coding RNA. RefSeq lists it as uncharacterized. The transcript has 7 exons. The record is from RefSeq and is a predicted model, not a curated record. Lineage: Eukaryota; Metazoa; Chordata; Testudines; Cheloniidae.
GCAAACCCCACAGGAUUUGGGGGCACUGCAGGGAUCUUUAGGUUAGGUACGAGCAGCAUUGCUGCAGAGCGAAUGAAGAAGCCAAAAAACACCCACGAGGGGGAGGGAGAGAGAGAGAAGCAACCACCUUCCACCACCAAGGAGGCUAUCACUGGUUGCGUUUGAUGGUGUACGUCCCUUUCGAGACCACAACGGCUUACAGAAGAAUGGGACAGAGUCUGGUGUGGGCUUAGUUUUAUAACAAAACUUGAGUGACUCCCUGGUGGCACUCUGCAUGCAAUUGGCAACGCUUUCCCAGGGGCAACCCGAGGAGUUGCCAACAGCGUAGAACUGGUAGCGACGCGGCAGGGCCGGGGGGUUACUCCCAUUCCCAUAGAAUCCAUGCAUGUAGCACAGUAGCAAUUUUACUUCCUGGGCUCCAGCUGGCCAGCACCUUCAGAGGUUCAGAGGGAUCACAAGUACAGCAUAGAGCCUGGACCGCAUCAGACUCCAGACACUUAUGAACAGCAGUGUACUGGUGUAACACUGGGAUGUCAUGGCUCCUGUUCGGGACCUGCGAGGGGGCACAGAAGAGAACAAACUUCCACACUCCCCGUGUACACGGGGAGAAUCUGGGACCAAUAUUGCAGGGUGAACAUGAAACAGUAACCUAUGUGAAGGUGGCCGUAAUCAGUCGAGGACUUUUCCGGCCUUUUCCUGCCUCAACAUCAGGGUAGGCACUGACAAGCCCACCCAACGUGUAUUUUCCAAUGGCCCCAAGCCAUUUCUUCUUGCUAGCCAAGAAGGGUGGCUGGCAGGAUGGAGAAGACAGUUAUAAUAUUUCUUGAGGGUCAGGUGGUUUAUCCUUCCACUUUUUGAGCUGUGAGGAAUGAAACCAUUUUCACCAGUGUUUCCCAUUUUUUCCAUACAGGAUUUUUACCUGAUAAACACUGGGGCUGGUCCGAUUCACACUAAAGCAGGGGCCAUCCCAGGUGUGUGUCAAAGAGUGCUCCUUUGCUGAAAACUUUUUGUAGAUUACUGGUUGGCCUAAUUCCCAUAUCAAAGGAGGUUUUCCCCAGCCUAGUUUUCUGUCGAUGUUUUGCUGUACUAUGCCUAGCUGUGCUGCCACUCGCUUGUGUAGAGCAGCGAUCAUCUCGACUAAGGUUUGUACCCAUUCAUCUGUUACCACCUUCCCUUCCCAGGCACUAGGCAGUUCUACUCCUAACCACCAACUUUCAGGCAUGCGCAUUUGCCUUCAAAGGGCGUGUACCCAUGUAGUGCCUUAGAGACAUUAAGAUGAUUGGUAGCUUUUCAUCCCCAUCACUCCCUGAGCUCUUUACUUGUUUUCUCAAAGCUUCCUUUAGCAUGCGAUUGGUUCAUUCAACUUGUCCAGAGGACUCAGGAUGUCCAGCUAUGUGGAAACGUUGCUUAAUGCCUAAAGCCUUACAUAGCUCUUGCAUAACAUCUCCCACAAAAUGGGAUCCCAAAUCUGAAUCAAUUCUGGGAAUUCCCAUUCUUGAGAAAACUAUGUUAAAGAGCUGCUUAGCAGUGACCGAGGCAGUGUUGGUUUUAGUAGCAAUGGCUUCCACCCAUUUGGAGAUGGGAUCCACUAUUACCAGGCAGUAUUUAUUCUCUCUACUGGUGGUGAUUAAAGGGCCUAUGUAAUCUAUCUGAAUCUGGGACCAGAGACCCUCUAUUCUUUGGUGCCCCAAUGCAUUUUUUUGAACCUGGUGAUCAGCAUUAACCAUGGUGCACUGCAGACAAUUGUCAAACCGCGUAUCUAUAUCCGCUUUCAUGCCUGGCCACCACUCUGUAUCUUUAACCCUAUUUAAAAUAUUCCUGUUUUCCUCUAUGCCCUUGCUCAACUGCACAAACUGAAUCAGGUCCCCCGGUACCUGGCUGGAGACUAUCCAGUACCUUUGACCACCUGCAUCCACUGCCCACCAGACAUCUCCAACCUGCUCAAUCCUGUAUUUUCCUGUGGGAUCUUUCCCUGUCCUGGCUAGGGACUGGAAUUCUGUAUCCCCAUCUUGAAGGGUACUUAAGUCCAAGGUAUCUAUUCCUUUACCUAAAGUUUUUCCCUGGGUAGUUACUGCCUAUAUUUGUUCUACCUGGUCUGUGUCUCUAGUGUGGUUACUAGUAGCAGUAGUUUUGGCUAAGGCAUCAGCUCGGUUGUUCCAGUGCGCUUCUUCUGAUGUCCCUUCGUGUGGGUCACCCAGGUGUCCCCAGUUCUUUCCUUGAUAACCUGUUUAUCAGUGGGUCUCCCUCCGGAGAUGCACUGAGAACUUAGAAUGUCCACUAGCAAUUGGGCUAAUAUCCCUGGGUUCCCCACUGUAGCCCUUACAGUGGGUCUGCCCCAUACGUCGCACUGAAAUCUUGUGAUUAGCUGGGGAGGCCUGCAGGGAACCGGGCACCCCUACUGAUCAGCCGACUCCCUCGAGAGCCUCCACUGAGAAGAGGGGGCAGGGAUCUGGUUUUGACAGGGAGUAGGCGUGGGGGACGCACUCCGUACCAGGCUAGUGGGCCGGGGCGGGGGGGUUCCCUGCAUUAACUCUUUUCCCCAUGACCUGAGACAAACCAUUCAUCAGGAGGCUGAGGGGCUGACUAUCAUAUUUUCCCCUAACAUAUCCUCCCCUAACUUCACCAGCUCCAUCCAAAUCAUGUUCCUAAGGGUCUCCUUGGGUCGGCGCUGCCCAGGGUUGUGGGAGGUAGGGGGAUUAGAAUUGGGAGGGUGACUGGCAGAGUGAGGACCAUUAUUCACAAAUGUGAUAGCCUGCACUGGCUCUGAGGUAGUCUUUCUGCUGAUUUGUCUUUUUAAGACACCAGUCUCUCGCAGCAAAUCCCCUGCCUGUUUGAUUUUUGCCACUAGUUCAUUCCAGGUGAGGUGCUCUACCUCCACAGCCCCCAUGGCCAUUUCUGUCUGAGAAUUUAGUCCUGCCUAAGUGCUCUGUACUAAUUCGGGUCCCUGAUAAUGGGAAGUAACAAUCCCAUUCUCUUCUGUCAGGUAAUGAAUCAGAGAGAGCUACCAGCAUCUUUUUUUGAAUUAGGUAAGCUUCAGGGGCCUCUCCUGGGUUCUCUCUGCCAUUAUAUAUAGUUUCUUGAGGGAAGCAGGAGGCAGUAAUAUUUUGAGAGCAUUUAUCAUCCAUUCCCAGGGUCCAGCGGCAGUCCACUCCCAAGAACCUAUGCCUAUGUCCAGAGCAUCUUCAUCACAAGGAGAGGCGUAUAACUGAGCCAAUGGGGUUAAGUCCAUGCCAUCAGCAGAGGGGUACAUUUGCCAAAUGCGAGCCGGCAGCGUCACAGUUCAGUGGCCCCAGUCUCUCGGCAAUAGCCUUGGCCUGACAAGGAGACCAUCUUACUACAUCCGUGACCAGCUCCGUCGUGGGAAGAUUGGCUCCUGCAACUGUUUGUGUUUAACCUCCCUUGUGGAAACAGGGGCAACAUUAUGCAUGUACGGCCAAUCAGGGGUGAAUGGGUUUUUGGGGUCAGUAUCAGGGGGUCUCUCUAUUUUCCCAGGAGGCUCCAAAUUGCAAUCCUCUCUCAACCUUACAGCUGCUACCACCCCCUUAUGGGCACUAAAUUUGGCAUGCAAUUUACUAAUCUCUGCCUCACACUUCUGAUGGCCUGCUGCUACCUUGGCUGCCUUAUUCUCAUCUGCCAGGAAGUGAGUUGCUACUCUCACUUCUUCUAACAAAAUUAUUGUGUGUUCGUUCUUUCCUAUACUGUUUUGCAUUCCUGCUGGCCUUGUCUCUCUCUUGCACAUUUUUAAGUACAGUCACCAGUUUAAGCUUUUCUGCUAUAAAGUCACACCCAUCUGUCUGUUCAAAUACUGUUGUAACUGCUUUUUUUCCAGCUCCAGUUCCUGCCUUCCCUUUACCAUUUCACCCAUGUCCAGACAUGCAUAAAAUAAUGCCCAUGCAGUAGUCGCAUCCUUUGCGCUACCCCGUGGCUUAAAGUUUGUGCAAUAUUGUUCAAAGCUCAGACUUGCUUCAAUCAGGGGAUUCUCACCCUUAAAGCACCCCCUUUCCCAGGGGCAUUUCCCCUUUUUCAUUGCCCAUCUCUCUAACCUGUUGGUUUUCUCCUGUCUCAAGCGAGCAGCCAAGGUGUUUUUUUUCAGCCAUCUCUACUUCCUUUAUCUCACUAAUGAUCCCUACCAAAAGCCCUUUCACGCAGUCACAGUAUUGCUCUAAAAUUUUUACUUUUGAGGCACAACUCCAACUCCUUCUUGCAUGGUCCUACAGUUAUUCUAAGCACGAUUCUUAAAAGUUACAGGAUGUUACCUAUGAGAGAGGGACCUCGCUGAAGGAGCUUAGUCUGAAAAAGGAAGAGACAGUUUGCACAGAUCUGUGCCUCAGUUUUCCCACUCUGGAGCAACUCAGCAAGUACCACAUGAUUAGGGUCAUGUGCUGCCCACAUUCUCCACCAAUUUGUUACCACAUUUGCCCGUUACUUUGGGGUAUGCUCAUUAGGGUUACUCUUCUGUGGGGGGAGGGGGGUUCUGUAAUUCUGUCAAUGUACUGCUUGUGUUCCCAUACAGAGCUCUACUUCUCCCUGCUGCAGUUCCCUCCCAAUGGACCUAGGUUCCCCAGGGCUGGGUUCUUCCAGCCCCAGAAUCAGACAGACACACACGCACACACACGAACAGAGAGCAUCUGAGAGGACUGGGUUAAUCAGCACGCCCAAGCUGACCUCUUAUACGUCCCUGGACUCAUGCAGCUGGGUCCAGCAGCACCUCCAAGCUGUCACCCUCAUAUGUCCCAAUGGGAGCUUCGGGGGAGAUACCUGGAAGCAAGAGCAACACGGAGCCCUCUGCCCCCCCGCCCCCAGCCUGCAGGGACCUGGUUCUGACUGCUUCCUGGAGCGGAGCGGAGAGGGGCCGGGCCGGGCCGGGCCAGGGAAGGCAGGCAGGGAGCCUGCCCUGGCCCCGGUGCAUGCCGCUGCCACCUCGGAGCCACUCUAGACACAACACUAUGAUAGAAAGCAGCGGAUGCCACACCACAGAGCCUAUUAUGGGACAUCCUGAGGUUUUCACUGGAAACAUGGCCUCUGGUUCUUACUCCAGGACAGAAAAGACAGUAACUGGGAAUAUGCCUUUAAUCGUUAUCAACCUGGCUUAUCAGACGGCAUGUUGAGUUCCUCCUUCCAAGACUGCAGGUCCAGAUUACUUUCAUCCAAGAGUUUUAAAAGAACUGGCUGAGGAACUUCCUGGACUGUUAAUGUUACCACAAUGCAACCAAAUUCGAAGCAGAGGGAAGGAGGGCGGGUAGUAGAAUGAAGAUAGGGACCCCACAUCUCAAAGACCCUCCAGUUACAAACACCAGAGCAUGCCUGAUGUCAAGGGAGCGAGGUGUCCAGUCUUUGGAAGAAGCAUGGGGUUUUGGGAAGAAUACAGGAAACCCAACCACCUGGAGCCAUGAGUCCUUUCACAUGACCCAUCCUGUGGCCAAACUUCUGGUUGCUGUACCUGCGGCAUCUACUGCAGUCUGAAGAGCCACCUUUGGCUACUAGCUUCCCCUCAUCCAGAAAGGACUGGAACUGGGCUCCGUCUUCCAUGGGAAGUUUGUCCCUAAAGUCUGCAAGCCUGAUGGGCACAAGAUGCUGGUGUGUGCCAAACCGCUCUGGUUGGUUCUAAUAUAGCCUCGUUAUUUGGAAGGGCCACUCGGUCCCUGUAAGUGUCUAAGGGACAGGGCUGAGGGCCGUGGACCUCUUCUAAUGGGAUCUGUAGAUCGUUAGCAACCUUUUGCCACAGCUCCUGAUGCUGAUGGUGGUCAUCCAGUGGAGAAGGCAAUGGAGUGACAGCAUCGUCUGGAGAUGAUGAUGAUGAGGCCCCCAUCAGAACAGGUUCCAGCUCUUCCUCCUCAUACUCUAAUGGAACUGGCUGACAAGAGGGGGAGGAAUGGCUAUGCACAGAAUGAAGGAGGAUACAAAAUUCUGUCUCAGGUCAUGCUGCGGUAAGAAGGAACGGAAGAGGUGUGAACCUGCACGGCCGCUUAUGCCCUCGGUCGGAAGUACGAGGGAAGCUUCUGUGCAUGUGCAUGUCAGUUGACACUGCUUUGAAGAAUUUCUGGACUCAGGCACAUGUACACCCAUUUGUGGACUACACAUGGGGCCCAUCACUCGAAGAAGAAUGGAGUGUCUGAUAUGGGUCGGGACUCUUAAUAAAAAGUAAUGCCAAUCAGCAUGGGUUUAUGGAAAA